GACGAACGCUGGCGGCGUGCUUAACACAUGCAAGUCGAACGGAAAGGCUCCAGCUUGCUGGAGUACUCGAGUGGCGAACGGGUGAGUAACACGUGGGUAAUCUGCCCUGCACUCUGGGAUAAGCCUGGGAAACUGGGUCUAAUACUGGAUAUGACCUUUCUCCUUAUGGGGUUUGGUGGAAAGUUUUUCGGUGUAGGAUGAGCCCGCGGCCUAUCAGCUUGUUGGUGGGGUGAUGGCCUACCAAGGCGACGACGGGUAGCCGGCCUGAGAGGGUGAUCGGCCACAUUGGGACUGAGAUACGGCCCAGACUCCUACGGGAGGCAGCAGUGGGGAAUAUUGCACAAUGGGCGGUAGCCUGAUGCAGCGACGCCGCGUGAGGGAUGACGGCCUUCGGGUUGUAAACCUCUUUCAGCAGGGACGAAGCGUAAGUGACGGUACCUGCAGAAGAAGCACCGGCUAACUAUGUG
This 467-nucleotide ribosomal RNA is filed under the name uncultured bacterium. RNAcentral describes it as "partial 16S ribosomal RNA". It matches the Rfam family "Bacterial small subunit ribosomal RNA", at positions 28 to 507 of the family's 1533-position model. The record is from RNAcentral.